RNAcentral lists this ribosomal RNA (400 nucleotides) under uncultured bacterium. Its description in RNAcentral is "bacterial SSU rRNA". It matches the Rfam family "Bacterial small subunit ribosomal RNA", at positions 355 to 773 of the family's 1533-position model. The record is from RNAcentral.
UGGGGGAUAUUGCACAAUGGGGGAAACCCUGAUGCAGCGAUGCCGCGUGAAUGAAGACGGCCUUCGGGUUGUAAAGUUCUGUCGCAGGGGACGAAAAUGACGGUACCCUGCAAGAAAGCUCCGGCUAACUACGUGCCAGCAGCCGCGGUAAUACGUAGGGAGCAAGCGUUGUCCGGAAUUACUGGGUGUAAAGGGAGCGUAGGCGGGAGGAUAAGUUGAAUGUGAAAUCUAUGGGCUCAACCCAUAGCUGCGUUCAAAACUGUUCUUCUUGAGUGAAGUAGAGGCAGGCGGAAUUCCUAGUGUAGCGGUGAAAUGCGUAGAUAUUAGGAGGAACACCAGUGGCGAAGGCGGCCUGCUGGGCUUUUACUGACGCUGAGGCUCGAAAGCGUGGGUAGCAAAC